This 28-nucleotide non-coding RNA is filed under the name Homo sapiens (human). Lineage: Eukaryota; Metazoa; Chordata; Mammalia; Primates; Hominidae. The record is from RNAcentral.
UGGGCUGACUGGGCAGUGGAAGUGAUAA